UGAACGGGGGAACGGCGAACGGCUCAGUAAUGUUGCGCUGAUUUGCUCUAUGCGUGAGAACUAACCACGGUAACCUGUGGCUAAAAGCGUAGAAUAAGGUGCAAUCCUAUCAGUUUGUUGGUAGUGUAAAGGACUACCAAGACUAUGACGGGUAACGGGAAAUCAGGGUUUGAUUCCGGAGAGGGAGCCUGAGAGAUGGCUCCCACGUCCAAGGACGGCAGCAGGCGCGAAAAUUGUCCACUCUUAGUGAGGAGACAGUUAUGAGACGUGAAAAAAAGAGUGAAGUGUAAAAAUCUUUACGUGAAGCAAUUGGAGGGCAAGUUUUGGUGCCAGCAGCCGCGGUAAUUCCAACUCCAAGAGUGUCUAUGGUGGAUGCUGCAGUUAAAGGGUCCGUAGUCGUAGAUGCAAUUAAAAAGUGAUGAUAAAAGUCAUUGAGUUUGUUACAUUGUUAGCGGAACGGAUAGGGAGCAUGGUAUAGGUAGGCCAAGAAUGAAAUCUCAAGACCCUACCUGGACCAACGGAGGCGAAAGCGAUGCUCUUAGACGUAUCUGUGGAUCAAGGACGAAGGCAGGAGUAUCGAAAGUGAUUAGACACCGCUGUAGUUCCUGCAGUAAACGAUGCCGACAAUUUCAACUGAGUGUAUUGGUUGGAGUGGGAGAAAUCUUAGUUUUCGGGCUCUGGGGAUAGUACGCUCGCAAGGGUGAAACUUAAACGAAAUU
Molecule: ribosomal RNA, 719 nt
Filed under: Microsporidium sp. BVER2
Lineage: Eukaryota; Fungi; Microsporidia
Description: SSU rRNA
Rfam family: Microsporidia small subunit ribosomal RNA
Source: RNAcentral